RNAcentral lists this ribosomal RNA (497 nucleotides) under uncultured bacterium. RNAcentral's name for it is "partial 16S ribosomal RNA". It matches the Rfam family "Bacterial small subunit ribosomal RNA", at positions 28 to 507 of the family's 1533-position model. The record is from RNAcentral.
GAUGAACGCUGGCGGCGUGCCUAAUACAUGCAAGUCGAGCGAACGGACGAGAAGCUUGCUUCUCUGAUGUUAGCGGCGGACGGGUGAGUAACACGUGGAUAACCUACCUAUAAGACUGGGAUAACUUCGGGAAACCGGAGCUAAUACCGGAUAAUAUUUUGAACCGCAUGGUUCAAAAGUGAAAGACGGUCUUGCUGUCACUGAUAGAUGGAUCCGCGCUGCAUUAGCUAGUUGGUAAGGUAACGGCUUACCAAGGCAACGAUGCAUAGCCGACCUGAGAGGGUGAUCGGCCACACUGGAGCUGAGACACGGUCCAGACUCCUACGGGAGGCAGCAGUAGGGAAUCUUCCGCAAUGGGCGAAAGCCUGACGGAGCAACGCCGCGUGAGUGAUGAAGGUCUUCGGAUCGUAAAACUCUGUUAUUAGGGAAGAACAUAUGUGUAAGUAACUGUGCACAUCUUGACGGUACCUAAUCAGAAAGCCACGGCUAACUACGUG